Molecule: ribosomal RNA, 336 nt
Filed under: uncultured bacterium
Lineage: Bacteria
Description: bacterial SSU rRNA
Rfam family: Bacterial small subunit ribosomal RNA
Source: RNAcentral
ACUCCUACGGGAGGCAGCAGUGGGGAAUAUUGCACAAUGGGGGAAACCCUGAUGCAGCCAUGCCGCGUGUGUGAAGAAGGCCUUCGGGUUGUAAAGCACUUUCAGUAGGGGGAAGGAGUAGUGUAGUUAACACCUGCACUAUUUGACGUUACCUACAGAAGAAGCACCGGCUAACUCCGUGCCAGCAGCCGCGGUAAUACGGAGGGUGCGAGCGUUAAUCGGAAUUACUGGGCGUAAAGCGCAUGCAGGCGGCCUGUUAAGUCAGAUGUGAAAGCCCGGGGCUUAACCUCGGAAUUGCAUUUGAAACUGGCAGGCUAGAGUCUUGUAGAGGGGGUG